GAUGAACGCUGGCGGCGUGCCUAAUACAUGCAAGUCGAGCGAACAGACGAGGAGCUUGCUCCUCUGACGUUAGCGGCGGACGGGUGAGUAACACGUGGAUAACCUACCUAUAAGACUGGGAUAACUUCGGGAAACCGGAGCUAAUACCGGAUAAUAUAUUGAACCGCAUGGUUCAAUAGUGAAAGACGGUUUUGCUGUCACUUAUAGAUGGAUCCGCGCCGCAUUAGCUAGUUGGUAAGGUAACGGCUUACCAAGGCAACGAUGCGUAGCCGACCUGAGAGGGUGAUCGGCCACACUGGCACUGAGACACAGUCCAGACUCCUACGGGAGGCAGCAGUAGGGAAUCUUCCGCGAUGGGCGAAAGCCUGACGGAGCAACGCCGCGUGAGUGAUGAAGGUCUUCUGAUCGUAAAACUCUGUUAUUAGGGAAGAACAAAUGUGUAAGUAACUAUGCACGUCUUGACGGUACCUAAUCAGAAAGCCACGGCUAACUACGUG
RNAcentral lists this ribosomal RNA (497 nucleotides) under uncultured bacterium. RNAcentral's name for it is "partial 16S ribosomal RNA". It matches the Rfam family "Bacterial small subunit ribosomal RNA", at positions 28 to 507 of the family's 1533-position model. The record is from RNAcentral.